This 498-nucleotide ribosomal RNA is filed under the name uncultured bacterium. Its description in RNAcentral is "partial 16S ribosomal RNA". It matches the Rfam family "Bacterial small subunit ribosomal RNA", at positions 30 to 523 of the family's 1533-position model. The record is from RNAcentral.
AUUGAACGCUGGCGGCAUGCCUUACACAUGCAAGUCGAACGAUAACAGGUCUUCGGAUGCUGACGAGUGGCGAACGGGUGAGUAAUACAUCGGAACGUGCCUAGUAGUGGGGGAUAACUACUCGAAAGAGUGGCUAAUACCGCAUGAGAUCUACGGAUGAAAGCAGGGGAUCGCAAGACCUUGUGCUACUAGAGCGGCCGAUGGCAGAUUAGGUAGUUGGUGGGAUAAAAGCUUACCAAGCCGACGAUCUGUAGCUGGUCUGAGAGGACGAGCAGCCACACUGGGACUGAGACACGGCCCAGACUCCUACGGGAGGCAGCAGUGGGGAAUUUUAGACAAUGGGCGCAAGCCUGAUCCAGCAAUGCCGCGUGCAGGAUGAAGGCCUUCGGGUUGUAAACUGCUUUUGUACGGAACGAAAAGCCCCGGGUUAAUACCCUGGGGUCAUGACGGUACCGUAAGAAUAAGCACCGGCUAACCACGUGCCAGCCGCCGCAGUAA